RNAcentral lists this ribosomal RNA (592 nucleotides) under Levilactobacillus brevis. RNAcentral's name for it is "bacterial SSU rRNA". It matches the Rfam family "Bacterial small subunit ribosomal RNA", at positions 86 to 665 of the family's 1533-position model. The record is from RNAcentral. Lineage: Bacteria; Bacillati; Bacillota; Bacilli; Lactobacillales; Lactobacillaceae.
AUGAAGCGAGUGGCGAACUGGUGAGUAACACGUGGGGAAUCUGCCCAGAAGCAGGGGAUAACACUUGGAAACAGGUGCUAAUACCGUAUAACAACAAAAUCCGCAUGGAUUUUGUUUGAAAGGUGGCUUCGGCUAUCACUUCUGGAUGAUCCCGCGGCGUAUUAGUUAGUUGGUGAGGUAAAGGCCCACCAAGACGAUGAUACGUAGCCGACCUGAGAGGGUAAUCGGCCACAUUGGGACUGAGACACGGCCCAAACUCCUACGGGAGGCAGCAGUAGGGAAUCUUCCACAAUGGACGAAAGUCUGAUGGAGCAAUGCCGCGUGAGUGAAGAAGGGUUUCGGCUCGUAAAACUCUGUUGUUAAAGAAGAACACCUUUGAGAGUAACUGUUCAAGGGUUGACGGUAUUUAACCAGAAAGCCACGGCUAACUACGUGCCAGCAGCCGCGGUAAUACGUAGGUGGCAAGCGUUGUCCGGAUUUAUUGGGCGUAAAGCGAGCGCAGGCGGUUUUUUAGUCUGAUGUGAAAGCCUUCGGCUUAACCGGAGAAGUGCAUCGGAAACUGGGAGACUUGAGUGCAGAAGAGGACAGUGGA